AGCUUUGCGCAGUGGCAGUAUCGUAGCCAAUGAGGUUUAUCCGAGGCGCGAUUAUUGCUAAUUGAAACAAGGGGCAUAAGCAGCUUUAAUCAUGCGUUAUGUUAUUAAAACAGCAACCCUAAAUUUUCCUGACGGCAGCUUUUGCUG
Molecule: small nuclear RNA, 147 nt
Filed under: Tupaia belangeri (northern tree shrew)
Lineage: Eukaryota; Metazoa; Chordata; Mammalia; Scandentia; Tupaiidae
Description: U4 spliceosomal RNA (ENSTBEG00000018528.1)
Rfam family: U4 spliceosomal RNA
About the family: U4 small nuclear RNA (U4 snRNA) is a component of the major U2-dependent spliceosome.
Source: RNAcentral